RNAcentral lists this transfer RNA (65 nucleotides) under Cryptocercus maluogouensis. Its description in RNAcentral is "tRNA-Ala". Lineage: Eukaryota; Metazoa; Arthropoda; Insecta; Blattodea; Cryptocercidae. The record is from RNAcentral.
GGGGUCGUAGUUAAUUAUAACAUUUGAAUUGCAUACAAAAAGUAUUGAACUUUCAAUCUAUCUCA